Molecule: RNA transcript, 2465 nt
Organism: Zea mays
Lineage: Eukaryota; Viridiplantae; Streptophyta; Magnoliopsida; Poales; Poaceae
Exons: 3
Source: RefSeq, marked predicted
GCGUUAAAUCGCAACAUGGCUGUGCCACCCACACUAAUCACCCCCCCAAAUCGACCACCCCUCCCUCUCCCUCUCUUAAGAUCGCCGGCGAGGGGAGAGCCGAGAGGCGCAGGGCAGCCCCCGCCGACGCUUCCGCUCCCGCUCCCGCCGCUGCCGCAGCCGCAGCCGCAGCCGCAGCCGUAGCGGCAUUUUGUCGAGCAUAUGGCGCUCGUGCCCAGCGGCGGCGCGGGCGCUUGCAAGGACGAGGCCGCCCUUGGGCUCCCGUGGUCCGAAAUGUUCCGCUCCGCCUCGCGCCGCCGGCCCAAGCAGGAGUCCGACGAUGCGCCGCCCAAGAAGCCCGCGCUGAAGACGGCGGGUGCCAAGGAGAUGAAGGCCAAGCCGUCGUCGGUAGGGACUGGAGCUGGGGCAGGAGCCGACAUCGCAGGGCUGUCGCUGGAGCCCGACGCGCGCCUGGCGCUCUACAUCGCCAUGGCGCACGCGGGCCUCGCCACCGCGCUGCUCGUGCUCUACGGCCUUUACCUGCUGCUCGCCGACUUCCUCCGCCCGCUGCAGUGGGCGUUGCUCUGCUCCGUCCCGCUCCGCGAGACGCAGCGCGCGCUCGUCGCCUUCUGGGAGCCCCCGCUCCGUGGCGGACUCAGCGCCGCACUGCUCGCGCUGCCACUCGCUGUGCUCCGGUCCUCGACCGCAACGCUCGCCGACGCGCGCGCCGCGCUCCUGCGCCGCCCGCUCCCGUCAUCGCCGGCGUUCCCGCGCCUCCUCCGCUGGCUCGUCUCCUUCUUUUUCUUCCUCAUCCUCUUCGAGCGCCUCGGCGCCGCCACCGCGCUGCUGCUCCUCGUUUUCGCGCUCGCAUUCUUCGCCGCGUCCCCCAAGCUCAAACGCGCUGCCUCCUCACGCAUCUCCGGUCGGCCUCCCUCCUCUCGCGGCCUCCUAUUAACUGGAGGCAUCCUCCGCCACCUUAAGACACUAGUCGCUCUUGGUCUCAUGCUUGGUAUGAUCGCUGGGUUCAUAACUGGCAGCAUCUUCUUCUCCUACAAGAUUGGGCUAGAGGGCAAGGACGCCGUCAUGUCCCUCAAGUCCCAUGUCGAGAAGAGCAACUACUCAGAGAAGAUUGGCUUGAAGAAGUGGAUGGACGACAAUGACAUUCCUGGCUUGGUCGAUCAGUAUUCUGCCAAGAUCUAUGACACCUUGUGGGAGCAGGUCGACCAAUUGGCUGUGCAGUACAACCUUACAGAUUUCACUAGUGGCUUCCGGCAUUUCUUGAUCAGCCAAUCAGUUGACCCCAAAAGCAAGGCGCUCAUCAGUUCCAGACCGCACCCAUACUCAAUGAAGUUGCAAUCAAUUGCGACACGUGUGAGAAACAGAGAAUGGGUGGAGAUUUACUGGGAGCUUGACUCAUUCUUUAGGGAGCUGUUAAUCACAAGAGAGGAUUUGGUCAUCAAGGCCAAAGAGCUUGCUUUGCAGGGAACAGAAAUCGCAAAGAGGCUUCUGUCCAGCAGCACAUCGGUGCUGGGCGGUAGUGCCAAUUUGAUGUUGUCAAUCACCCUCCGCAUUGUCUCAGGUGCGGCUGAGGUUGUUAAUUUCCUGUCACAACUGAUGGUGUUCUUGUGGGUGCUGUAUUACCUUAUUACUGUGGAGGGAGGUGGAGCUACAGAGCAAAUCAUUGAUCUUUUGCCAGUGUCAAAACAAGUAAAGGACCGCUGUGUUGAGGUCAUGGAUCAUGCCAUCAGUAGUGUAUUGUUGGCCACUGCCAAGAUUGCCAUAUUCCAGGGGGGGCUGACAUGGCUAUUGUUCAAGUUCUUCAAAGUGCAUUUUGUGUACACAUCAACUGUGCUUGGAUUCAUAAGUGCACUUGUGCCAAUACUUCCAUUUUGGCUGUCCUCGAUAUUUGCCACAGGGCAGCUUCUCAUGGAAGGGAGAUAUGUUCUUGCACUGGUGGUAACUGUGAUACACCUCAUGCUCAUGGAUUAUGGCACAACUACCAUUCUGGAGGAUAUACCUGGGUACAAUGGGUAUCUCACCGGCCUCAGCAUAAUUGGUGGCAUGACACUGUUUCCCAAUGCACUGGAGUUGUAGGAGAGCAAGCCGAAUAACAUGCUAUAAGUAGCAUGGUGAUCUAUAGAAUCUAUCUCCAUCUUAAAAAAAACUUGGCAGGGUGCAAUAUUAGGUCCCCUUAUAAUGACGGUUGUUAUAGCGUUGAAGAACUUGUACACAGAGUUUGUACUUGCUGAUGGAGAGGAGACGAGCAGCUAGCAUCAGAUGCAAGGCUAAAAUGCUUGUGUUGCCAAAGAAAUACUUGUGUAGGGCUUCUACAUGCAAUGUUGCAUGAUGGUUUUGCUCUUGUACCAUGCCUUAUAUGCACAGCUAUUGCAGCAGUUGUGAGCUUUCCUUGUUAAUAUCUAUUGGAUCGUUCCAUAGACUUGGUUUUGAUAUCUGCCGAUGCUGAAUGACCUCUCUGUCCAAUUGAA